AAAUGUUUGUGCAAUCUGCUGCCUCUUUCCUUUUUGACCCUCGGGGCUAAUGGAGCGAUCUGGCUGGCUAGGUGGGCGUCCCUUUCCCCCUUUGCUCUUCUACAUAUGCACCUUUUGAAGUUUUGUGCUAGCUGGGGAGGAAUGACGUUCCCUGGUAGUGGAGGGCUCUUCUUCAGCUAUGGGAAUGUGCGUAGCUGUGCUCCAUUGUAGAACCUCCAAACAACUGCCCAAGGGCGCAGUAAACAAGAGUACAUCUAUUCACAUGCUUCUCUGGUACUUCUGU
Molecule: small nuclear RNA, 283 nt
Filed under: Jaculus jaculus (lesser Egyptian jerboa)
Lineage: Eukaryota; Metazoa; Chordata; Mammalia; Rodentia; Dipodidae
Description: 7SK RNA (ENSJJAG00000002264.1)
Rfam family: 7SK RNA
About the family: 7SK was discovered as an abundant small nuclear RNA in the mid-70s but a possible function has only recently been suggested. Two independent studies have found that 7SK RNA binds the CDK9/cyclin T complex (known as elongation factor P-TEFb).
Source: Rfam by way of RNAcentral